This is a long non-coding RNA of Bolinopsis microptera, 3711 nucleotides long. RefSeq lists it as uncharacterized. NCBI's taxonomy places the organism in Eukaryota, Metazoa, Ctenophora, Tentaculata, Lobata, Bolinopsidae. The record is from RefSeq and is a predicted model, not a curated record. The transcript has 2 exons.
AGAAUGGCCCAGGGCAUCCAUCCUGGAUAAUGAACUGAAAUGAGACUGAUGUGCAAGAAACUAUGUUUACCUGGCUUAUGCCGUUUUUUCUGCUGAGUGUAUCAUUUGGAGCAUGUCCGGACCCGGCGCACAUCGCGUGUGUCGGUACAUCCUGUGAGUCAGACAGAGACCCGGGGUGUUGUCCGAACACAUGUGGAACUUUGACACUUAUCAAUGAGAUCGUAUCCCUGUCGAGAAUCACACGGGAGGCUGGGGAUUGCCCAGAUGAGGAGGAGGGUAGCAUACAGCCUGAUGGCUGUAAGGUUUGUGUCUGUAAAUAUAACAGAAGGGAGUGUAUAUACAAAGGUUGUAAAGCCUGUAUGGUGGUCAGUGAAGGAAACACUACGAAGUACAACCACGGAGAGAACUUCGGCUCGGGAUGUCUGCAAUGCACGUGCAAGGACGGCGAACUUGACUGCAAUCAUACGAAGUGUGUGGCCUGUGAUCAUGGGGGGAAUUCCACUAUGUCUGGUCAGAAGAAGGUAUUCGGGUGUGGAACGUGCGAGUGUUUCGACGGACAGUGGACCUGCAAUGAAGCAUGCGGAACAAAUUCCGCUCAGGGCCAACUCAGGUGUGGCCCUGGCUUUUUGCUAUCCCUGGUGUUGCUGAGGCACCUGGCACUUCACAUUUUCUAGGUUUAGGAUUGACAGACAUUUUAACCACAUUUGUAACUAUUUUUAGCUAGCUUUAAAAGUUGAAUAUUUUAUGAUCUCUUGAGUAUACAAUUCCUGAGAAUUUAAAACUGAGAUAGUUUCACCCUGAUAUUUAUCUCUAGUUAUUAUGGUUCCAAGCACCUCUGUUAAGUGACAGCUUUACUUGAUAUUAAAGUUGUUCUCUCCAUGGAACAGCAAAUUAACUGUUAAAGCGUCGUAUUUCUGAAUAGAAGGCCUGAAGUAAUUAAUUAAUUAGUUAAUUACAAACUUUGCAAUAGUCGCACGUGGAUCGUGUUGGCACAGCCCCAAUUUUGUACUGGCCUAUCAUUCAGAUUAUGAUGAGACUUUCAGUUGGUUUCUAUACAUACGAAUUUUGAUUUGAUUUUUCGUUGUUAUACAUACACGAAUUCAUGAUAUAACUAAUUUGCUGCAUUUUGGUAUAACAGUCAACACUGUAAAGAAAAUCUUUUUUGGAAAAUAACUCAGUGGCUUUAACCGCACUGGCUUAUUUGAGAAUUUCAUGAUAACUCUCCGUAUGAUUGGAUAAAAUAAUUGAUUUAAUGAUGAUCUUAUUAGUUCAUUUUUGCUGUAUAUUUGGCGCAGAAGAUUUAUUAGGUAGAAUAAUUUGCACCGGGCCUCUGUCUUAGCGAUCGCACGGAAACACAGGAUUUCCCGACUCGAAUUCCCUCAACAUAUUUUUUAAUUCCUUCCUCCUUAUGAUCGCAUAGCAGAUUAAUUGUCUAUAUAUGAUACAUAGAUUCAAUAAUAAUUGUAAUAUUUAUUUUUCGAACAUUUAGGUAAAUGAAAUUUACAAAAGUGAUUUUUUACGUAAAAUGUAUCCAGCGAUUGGCUGUUAGAACUAUAUUUAGUAUAUCGGUAUAGGGGGGCAACCCCUCUAUAGAUGCUGGCAAGAUGUUAUAUAAAGUACAGUGUACCGCAGAGCUUCCUAACAGUGCAAGAAAAUAUACACAUUUCUUUUUUUCUGAACUCUUGCUUCGAAUUUGCAGCCACGAAUGUUUUACAUUAUUUUAAAGACCGCAAUAGCGCUCAUAAAUCUGCCUGUAAUGAAAUGUUUGGUAUUAUAAGUGCUGUUUGGUAUUUAAAUAAAGAUCUAGGUCCAUGUUGAUCAAUGUUUAAAUACUGGAUCCUCCUACGAUGUGGCCAGACUGGCAGCUAUCUUCUCGUGGCUGCCCAUUCAUUUAUUUGACCGUGUCGUUUUUGGGCCUUGUGUUUGAUGAAUUUUGGAUGAGGGUGUCUAGGAAAAUAUUACGGUACGUAAUCUGCAACCUAAAAGUAUAUAUACGUUUUUACACGCUAGGUUUCGUAUCAAGUUAAGAAAAUGUUAUAUUUCUAAUUGGACAGAGAUUGGAUUGGAAGAACGUUAUUGGUCGUAUAUUUCCUAAAUCAAACCUUCUAGAACGUGUUCCAAAAAUUAUAGGACAACUUGAAACGGUCCAUGCUCCUCACUACAGAUUGUGGAGCUUACAGGUUGAAAUGUAAAAAGUACCUUAACAUCUGCCAAUUCUGCGGCAGUUGCUUUUGUAUUAUGAAAAAAAGCUUUAUUCAACCUCCCAAGUUUCAAGUUUUCCUAAAAUACUGUUUUGACCAAUAGAGAAGGAUGCUUUAAAUAUUGAAAUUAAUAUUAAAGGUUGAUUAUUUUUGGUUUUUGCCAAAUUUCGAUGGUGAUGCAUGUAAAAUGACAAAUGUCAUUGUCUCUUUGAUUUGAGAAAGUUGCGUUUGUAGAAAUUUGGCAAAUGUACCAAGCAUAAUAAGCCUCAGUAGCUUGUUGGAUUUACCGAAUUGUUUAGAAGAUAUAGGAUUUAGAUAGAACCGCAAGCCGUUACACGCUUCAAGCGACAGUAUUUUUGGGUAUUGCAUUAUGUGAAAUACAUGCAAUUUCAUCUUAAGUAAAUGAUUUUUCUCCGACUUAUGCCUUGUGGCUAGUUAAUUAUAUGCUUUGGUCUAUCCGCAGCAGUUUCCGGGCGAACGUCCCUGCUAUUUCAUGACAAAAUAAUUUUACAGAAAAUGUAAAAGGAUAGCGUCAUAAAUGCCUGUUGUCUCAGUAGUGCCCAGCCCGUCUUUCAAAGAGGAGGUUAUCAGGAUUAAACCAUCAAAGGGUAGUGAAAACUCUUAGCUUAAGCCUGGCCGGAUUUAUGCGUCCUCGGAAUUUGAAGAAACCUUUCACAAACUACGUAUUAGCCGCCCAGGGGAGGAAGCGAGAAAUUGCUUAAUAACAAAAAUUACUAUCUUUUGCUAAAUUUUGCAUGAUUCAAAGUUUAGUUAUUAUAUUGAUACUAACAGUUUAACACUGUAUAUGUCAGUACUCUAGUAUUUUAUAGAUAAAAUACAAAAAUUGCUAAUUUUUUAAAUGGGGGAGAGGUGUGACACAUGCUUACCUAUUACAGUAGGGUGGGGGUUCUCUCUGAAAUAUCCAAAAUCCGGCUUACCUAAUAUAUGAACAAUAAUAGGUUGUCAUAUGAUGUUGUACAGCGCAUACCCUAUUGUCAAAUUAUUCAGAAAGUGUCGUUUAACAUCAUGUUCUCUGACACGUGCUGAUUACGAUUGAUAGGAAUGUAAAAUUUUCAAGUAUUUGCCCUAAUUUUCCUAAUUUUGGGGUGAGUGAUUCUCAAUCGACUAUUGUGUGCUGACAGAUCCAUUUUAGGCGCUACUGAGACCGGGCAAUAUUAGGGACUAUAUUUUGAAAGUACAAAAACACCACAUGGUUCCUUCAUAAAGAUAUAUUAGAAAAUCCCUUAAAUUAUUAUCGGUAUUCGAUUUUAAAAUGAAAGCAAUAUUUUAGAAUUGAUCCUACGAAAACGGUUCAGUCUGAUGCUAUGUUCGGCCGAAAUGGGUCCUUUUACAGAGAACAACAUUCCGAUAAAUGAGGAAUUUGAAUUUUGAACCAUUUUCGAUUCACAAAUAUAAUUAAUUUUGAAUUGCUUUAAAGUGCGAUUUUGGCAUUAAGCCGAGGUAUUGUGAGAUCAAACUUUGGCAAUUAUUUUCAACAUUACACAAUGUA